UUGAAAUUAUAGGUGAGGGUUGUAGCUGGCCUCUCGGGGCAUGUGCACGCCUGAGCCCUUAAUCCACACACACCUGUGAACCUAUUGUAAGGGCCCUUAAAAAAGGCCUUUACGUCUUAUCAUCAACCCAUCGUAUGUCUCAUAGAAUGUAAAUAUAUGUCCUCGCCUUAAAAAGCGUUGAUAAACUUAUA
This 191-nucleotide unclassified non-coding RNA is filed under the name uncultured Piloderma. Its description in RNAcentral is "sequence contains ITS1". The record is from RNAcentral. Lineage: Eukaryota; Fungi; Basidiomycota; Agaricomycetes; Atheliales; Atheliaceae.